This is a non-coding RNA of Podarcis lilfordi (Lilford's wall lizard), 75 nucleotides long. The record is from the annotation of a GenBank genome assembly. NCBI's taxonomy places the organism in Eukaryota, Metazoa, Chordata, Lepidosauria, Squamata, Lacertidae.
AUCCAUCAAUAGCUCAGCUGGUAGAGCAUGAGGCUCUUAAUCUGAGGGUUGUGGGUUCGAGCCCCACGUUGGGCA